This 492-nucleotide ribosomal RNA is filed under the name uncultured bacterium. RNAcentral describes it as "partial 16S ribosomal RNA". It matches the Rfam family "Bacterial small subunit ribosomal RNA", at positions 29 to 507 of the family's 1533-position model. The record is from RNAcentral.
AGUGAACGCUGGCGGUAGGCCUAACACAUGCAAGUCGAACGGCAGCACAGUAAGAGCUUGCUCUUACGGGUGGCGAGUGGCGGACGGGUGAGGAAUACAUCGGAAUCUACUUUUUCGUGGGGGAUAACGUAGGGAAACUUACGCUAAUACCGCAUACGACCUACGGGUGAAAGCAGGGGAUCUUCGGACCUUGCGCGAUUGAAUGAGCCGAUGUCGGAUUAGCUAGUUGGCGGGGUAAAGGCCCACCAAGGCGACGAUCCGUAGCUGGUCUGAGAGGAUGAUCAGCGACACUGGAGCUGAGACACGGUCCAGACUCCUACGGGAGGGAGCAGUGGGGAAUAUUGGACAAUGGGCGCAAGCCUGAUCCAGCCAUACCGCGUGGGUGAAGAAGGCCUUCGGGUUGUAAAGCCCUUUUGUUGGGAAAGAAAAGCAGCAGGUUAAUACCCCGCUGUUCUGACGGUACCCAAAGAAUAAGCACCGGCUAACUUCGUG